UGCAAGUCGAGCGCGGGAAGCAAACAGAUCUCCUUCGGGAGUGACGUUUGUGGAACGAGCGGCGGACGGGUGAGUAACACGUGGGCAACCUGCCUGUAAGACUGGGAUAACUCCGGGAAACCGGGGCUAAUACCGGAUAAUCCUUCUUGCCACAUGGUGAGGAGUCAAAAGGCGGCUUUUAGCUGUCACUUACAGAUGGGCCCGCGGCGCAUUAGCUAGUUGGUGGGGUAAAGGCUCACCAAGGCAACGAUGCGUAGCCGACCUGAGAGGGUGAUCGGCCACACUGGGACUGAGACACGGCCCAGACUCCUACGGGAGGCAGCAGUAGGGAAUCUUCCGCAAUGGACGAAAGUCUGACGGAGCAACGCCGCGUGAGUGAUGAAGGUCUUCGGAUCGUAAAACUCUGUUGUCAGGGAAGAACAAGUAUGGUAGUAACUGACCGUACCUUGACGGUACCUGACCAGAAAGCCCCGGCUAACUACGUGCCAGCAGCCGCGGUAAUACGUAGGGGGCAAGCGUUGUCCGGAAUUAUUGGGCGUAAAGCGCGCGCAGGCGGUCCUUUAAGUCUGAUGUGAAAGCCCACGGCUUAACCGUGGAGGGUCAUUGGAAACUGGAGGACUUGAGUACAGAAGAGGAGAGUGGAAUUCCACGUGUAGCGGUGAAAUGCGUAGAGAUGUGGAGGAACACCAGUGGCGAAGGCGACUCUCUGGUCUGUAACUGACGCUGAGGUGCGAAAGCGUGGGUAGCGAACAGGAUUAGAUACCCUGGU
Molecule: ribosomal RNA, 769 nt
Filed under: Virgibacillus sediminis
Lineage: Bacteria; Bacillati; Bacillota; Bacilli; Caryophanales; Bacillaceae
Description: bacterial SSU rRNA
Rfam family: Bacterial small subunit ribosomal RNA
Source: RNAcentral